This 505-nucleotide ribosomal RNA is filed under the name uncultured Actinomyces sp. RNAcentral describes it as "bacterial SSU rRNA". It matches the Rfam family "Bacterial small subunit ribosomal RNA", at positions 9 to 507 of the family's 1533-position model. Lineage: Bacteria; Bacillati; Actinomycetota; Actinomycetes; Actinomycetales; Actinomycetaceae. The record is from RNAcentral.
UAGUUUGACUCCGUGGCUCGAGGACGACGCUGGCGGCGUGCUUAACACAUGCAAGUCGAACGCUGAAGCCUGGCUUUGUGUUGGGUGGAUGAGUGGCGAACGGGUGAGUAACACGUGAGUAACCUGCCCUCUUCUUCGGGAUAACGGUCUGAAAGGGCUGCUAAUACCGGGUAUUCACUGGUCCUCGCAUGGGGGUUGGUGGAAAGGUUUUUUCUGGUGGGGGAUGGGCUCGCGGCCUAUCAGCUUGUUGGUGGGGUGAUGGCCUACCAAGGCUUUGACGGGUAGCCGGCCUGAGAGGGUGACCGGUCACAUUGGGACUGAGAUACGGCCCAGACUCCUACGGGAGGCAGCAGUGGGGAAUAUUGCACAAUGGGCGCAAGCCUGAUGCAGCGACGCCGCGUGAGGGAUGGAGGCCUUCGGGUUGUGAACCUCUUUCGCCCGUGGUCAAGCCGCAACGUGGGUUGUGGUGAGGGUAGUGGGUAAAGAAGCGCCGGCUAACUACGUG